RNAcentral lists this non-coding RNA (66 nucleotides) under unclassified sequences. RNAcentral describes it as "RAGATH-18 RNA". It matches the Rfam family "RAGATH-18 RNA". Rfam says of the family: Actinobacteria, Firmicutes, Fusobacteria, Thermotogae (1 example). Nearby to self-cleaving ribozyme genes The record is from Rfam by way of RNAcentral.
CCUUCGGAGCGUCAAAGCAACGAAAGUAGCAUUAGUUUUGCCAAAUCGGACGCGUUGAACGAGGAA